Molecule: ribosomal RNA, 809 nt
Filed under: Curvularia portulacae
Lineage: Eukaryota; Fungi; Ascomycota; Dothideomycetes; Pleosporales; Pleosporaceae
Description: LSU rRNA
Rfam family: Eukaryotic large subunit ribosomal RNA
Source: RNAcentral
AGUAACGGCGAGUGAAGCGGCAACAGCUCAAAUUUGAAAUCUGGCUCUUUCAGGGUCCGAGUUGUAAUUUGCAGAGGGCGCUUUGGCUUUGGCAGCGGUCCAAGUUCCUUGGAACAGGACGUCACAGAGGGUGAGAAUCCCGUACGUGGUCGCUAGCUAUUGCCGUGUAAAGCCCCUUCGACGAGUCGAGUUGUUUGGGAAUGCAGCUCUAAAUGGGAGGUAAAUUUCUUCUAAAGCUAAAUAUUGGCCAGAGACCGAUAGCGCACAAGUAGAGUGAUCGAAAGAUGAAAAGCACUUUGGAAAGAGAGUCAAACAGCACGUGAAAUUGUUGAAAGGGAAGCGCUUGCAGCCAGACUUGCUUGCAGUUGCUCAUCCGGGCUUUUGCCCGGUGCACUCUUCUGCAGGCAGGCCAGCAUCAGUUUGGGCGGUGGGAUAAAGGUCUCUGUCACGUACCUCUCUUCGGGGAGGCCUUAUAGGGGAGACGACAUACCACCAGCCUGGACUGAGGUCCGCGCAUCUGCUAGGAUGCUGGCGUAAUGGCUGUAAGCGGCCCGUCUUGAAACACGGACCAAGGAGUCUAACAUCUAUGCGAGUGUUUGGGUGUCAAGCCCGAGCGCGUAAUGAAAGUGAACGGAGGUGGGAACCCGCAAGGGCGCACCAUCGACCGAUCCUGAAGUUUACGGAAGGAUUUGAGUAAGAGCAUGGCUGUUGGGACCCGAAAGAUGGUGAACUAUGCUUGAAUAGGGUGAAGCCAGAGGAAACUCUGGUGGAGGCUCGCAGCGGUUCUGACGUGCAAAUCGAUCGUCAAA